CAUUCUCUUUUAAUGAAGACCACUGUACAAGUUGAAAUAACUAGGAUAAAGUGUGUGUGUGUGUGUGUGUGUGUGUGUGUGUGUGUGACAGUUCUGUCUUUAAUAUUGUUUGGAACAAGUGGCCAUUAGCCUGAUCUGUCUUUUUGUUACAUAACAAAGUUUGACUAAUUUUACACCUUUAUAAAUUUUAUGCUGUCACUAUUUUUAUUUAAAUUAUAAUUCUAUUUUCCUGGUUAUAUGUCUCAUAUAUUUCCAUUACUUUCAAAAAGCAGAGAUGGAAUAUGCUAUUAACAAUAAAAGGUUUUAAUUUGUAGUGCUGUUGUUUUGGAAGUUUCAAGUAUUUCAUUAGGAAAUAAAUACCUAAAAUACUUUUUUAUGUAUGCCAAUUUUUAUAUACACAUUACUUCAGGUUGUGAGAUCAAGUUGCAUUUCUGGAUAGACCAAUGAAUUUAUCAGUCAUGAAGAAGAUUGGCAUAUUGGCUUUAAAAUUUUUUUCAAGCCUGGAUGAUUUUUGUAGUGUAACAUUUUCUAAGGAUUGUAGGGAAACAUCUCACCUUCAGCAAGGCAUAAGAAAAUAGUAACAUUACAUUUGAAGAAAUCUCUUUAAAAAGCAGAAGCAGACUUUUCGUUCAUUAAUGAAAAUAAAAAGUUGAUAUGUGGUUACUUUUUAAAAUUUGAAUAGAAUUUACUCAGAUCGAAAAAAUUUGGAUACGCUGUAUCACCUACAUUUAUGGUUUAUAACCCUGAGUUUUCUUUCAGACUGUUAACUAUACAGAUAAUAAAAUUAAUGUUUUAACAAACUUAGCCUUUUGGGCUUUCUGAAUCCUGUGAUGUCAAUUUUCUUUCCUUCAGACACUGAAAACCACCUAUUGCCAAAAAUGCAUAAAUUAGAAUGACAGAUUGACAGGUUGAUGAAUGCAGCAAUGACAAAGUUACUUUUUACAGAUACCAUAUUAUCACUUCAUACAAAGACAACAAUUCUGAGCUCACUUUUUAAUUUUUUUUUAAUUAGUAGCCUUUAUUUUUUAGAGUGGUUUUAGAUUUAUAGAAAAAUUGAGCAGAAAGCACAUAAUUCCCAUAUACCCUAUCUUCCUCUGUUUUCCAUUUUCACAUCUUGCAUUAGCGUGGUGUAUUCAUUAGAAUUGAUGAACUAGUUUUAAGACAUUAUUAAUAGCUCACGUUAGGAUUCACCCUGUGCUGUACAGUUCUAUAGGCUUUGACAAACGCAUAAAGUCCUGUAUCCACCAGGAUAAUAUCAGACUAGAUAGUUUCACUGUCCUAAAAAUUUCCUGUGUUCCACUUACUCAUCUCUUCCUCUUCGCCCCCCCUUCCAACCCUGGCAACUACUGAUGCUUUUAUUGCGUCUCUGUUUUAUUUUUUCCAGAAUGUCACCUGGUGGGAAUCACAUAGCAUGUAGCCUAAGUUUUCUCCAUGUCUUUUCGUGGUGAGCACACUUUUGCAUGAGGUAAUUAUGCAUCUUUGGUCAACAUGUUACUCUUGGUGCAAGGUCAGACACUGGCAGAUUAGGAACAGGCUAUGAUAAUGGCAAUUUUUUUUUUUUUUAAGUUUUUCGGUUCUGUUUGGGAGUUUUGGAUUUAUUUUGAUACAUUUUUUUACUUUAAGUAAUUUAUCAAUCUUUUGUGCUUAGUGAUUUUUGUCUCCUGUUUUAGAAAUCUUUGCUUAUCUUGGUGUCAUGAUGAUACCCCGUUUUUUUCUGGAAACUUAGUUGUUUUAGUGUCACCCUUGGCUAUAUAAUUCAUUAAAAAAUGAUUUCUGUGUACUGUCUUAUUCCCUAAGCAAUAUAAAAGGGACAGAAAGUUCCAGGCUCUGGCCUUACCUUGUAUCAGUGGAUAAACAUACCCACUUUUGACUUUGAGGAAAAAAAGCAAACCAAGAAGCAAAUUAGUCUGUAGUUGUUCAAUGUAAUCUCAUGAAGGCUUUCUGAAAGCAGAGGUAAAGUAAACUCAGGAUAAAGUAAAUGAGUCAAAAUCACACAGCUAUUUAGGAUUAAAAUCCAGGACUGUUUGGCUCUACAGUCCAUGGUCUUCCCACAAUUCCACGCUCUUCGUGAAAGGCAAAAGAAAAAAGUGUUUCAAGAAGGAGGCCUACCGUGUUAAAAGGUCAAGUAAGAAGCAGCUCUUGGACUUGAUCACAUAAGAGCUGUUGGUGGCUCUGAUAACAGGGACUCAUGUUAAACUGGGUACCCCAACUCCAGAGGCACUCAACAGUGAGCUGGUUUUAAAAGCCACAGGAUAAAUGUGAUAAUCUUAGCGUCAGUUUUACUCGAUAAUAAGUAAUUUUAAGUAUUUUUUAUAUAUUAAAAUAAAAGCUGUAUUAGGACUACUAUAUAAAAUUUGCAUACAUUUUCAAGAUAUUAUACUGUAUUUCCCCCAAAUUUUAUGCUCAUGGGGUUCUGGGCCACACUGUAUCAGCUUUACCUACAGAGGAGCUGGAGACAGGUCAGCCACGUAAGCAAUCAACUGUCUAUGUAGACUGAACCCUAAUUAAAACUCUGGACACCAAGGCUUGGAUGAGCCUCCUGGGUGGCAAUACGCCAUGCAUACCGUCACAUAUCUUUGCCGCAAGAAGUUAAUACUGUCUACACCUCAAUGGGGUGAAGACAUUGGAAGCCCUGUGUGUGGAAGUCUCCUGGACUCCACCCUAUGUACCUCUUUCCUUGGCUGAUUUUAAUUUGUAUCCUUUUGGUGCAAUAAACCACAACCAAGAGUAAAACAGCUUUCAGUGAGUUUUGUGAGUCCUAGCAAAAACUUGCAAUUGGUAUCAAAAGUGAGGAUGCCUCAGGGAAAUACAAAUCAAAACCACACUGAGAUAAUACCACCUCACACUGGUCACAGUGACUAAAAUUAACAACUCAGGAAACAACAGAUGCUGGCGAGGAUGUGGAGAAACGGGAACCCUCUUGCACUGUUGGUGGGAAUGCAAACUGGUACAGCCACUCUGGAAAACAGUGUGGAGGUCUCUCAAAAAAUUAAAAAUAGAAUUACCCUACAACCCAGCAAUAGCACUACUAGGAAUUUAUCCAAAAGAUACAGGAGUACUGAUUUGUAGGGGCACAUGUACCCCAAUGUUUAUAAGCAGCACUAUCAACAAUAUCCAAAUUAUGCAAAGAGCCCAAAUGUCCAUAAUGCAUAAAGAAGAUGUGGUAUGUAUAUAUAUAAUGGAAUACUACUCGGUGAUGAAAAAGAAUUGAAUCUUGCCAUUUGCAACGACUUGGAUGGAACUGGAGGGUAUUUUCCUAAGUGAAAUAAGUCCCUCAGGGAAAGAUAGAUAGCAUAUGUUUUCACUCAUAUGUGGAAUUUGAGAAAUUUAACAAAAGAAAAAUAAGUUACAAACAGGGAGGCAAACCAUAAGAAACUCUUAAGUACAGAAAACAUACAGGGUUGAUGGCGGGGUGCUGGGGGGUAGGCAGGAAAAAUGGGUGAUGGACAUUGAGGAGGGCACAUGUUGGGAUGAGCACUGGAUAUUGUAUGUGAUGAAUCAUGGGAAUCUGCUCCCAAAGCUAAAACUACACUGUAUACACUGUAUGUUGGCUAACUUGACAAUAAAUUUUCUUUAAAAAAGUGA
This is a long non-coding RNA of Neofelis nebulosa (Clouded leopard), 3585 nucleotides long. RefSeq lists it as uncharacterized. The transcript has 2 exons. Lineage: Eukaryota; Metazoa; Chordata; Mammalia; Carnivora; Felidae. The record is from RefSeq and is a predicted model, not a curated record.